CAUUGUCUGCUAGAGUGCUUAGCUAGGAGUCUGGGGUGAUUUGCCUCUGUGAAGCGUCAGUGUGCAAUAGAACCUCUAGAUUUGGGUGCUUGCGGCCUUUAAACGCGGUGGUGGCAGUUUGUUAAGUUUAGGCGGGUUGGUGCUGUUUGGGGUUUGAUUGCAUGAGUUAGCAAUUAUGAUCAUGAUCAAUUAUGUAUUUAUUAAUAUUCACGAUAAUUUGUAAGCUGAUCAUAUGAAAAAUUUGAGAAUUUAUGUAGUUGUCUAAAAAUUUGAGAAUAUUGCAGGAAAUUCUCGAAAACAAUGUGAAUUUUAAAUGGAUGUUUAUUUCCUUGAAUCCUUCUUUUUUUUCCCAAACAGGAAAAUGGCAUUGGCGCUCAUUCUUGAAAAUAAUAAUGUGAAAUAUAAAAACAAUGAUGGUAUUAACUUCCCCUUGAAAUUGUGUGAAUUGUGUCAGUCUAAAAAAUUCAUAAAUCUCGAACGUUUGUGGGUUUUAAAAAAAAUCUUGAUUUUUUUGAGAAAAAAAACAAAACAAUCAUAUACUGCCAAAACACAUACAUACAUCGUGAAAAAAAUGAAACAUAAAAAAAUUUAACUUUUUUCAGAAAACCUUUGUAAAUGGGCCCCUAAGGAUUUUAGAUCUAUCAUUUAAUAAAAAGGUAUCGUUUAAGCAAAGGGAAAGAGCAAAAGUUGUUUUACACAGCAUAAUAAAUAGGCCCCAAAAUGUAUGUCAGUUUGGCAGAAUUCUGUAAAUCCCUGAAUCAGACUGGAAAGCAAAGAUUGUGGGGAUGCUUCAAAUGGGCCUGGACACCAGUGGGCUCUUUAAAUUACUUCCCAAGCCUGCUUUUGUACAAAUUAACUUCUAGAGGACCUUUUCCCUUAGUAUUGCCUUGCAUCCUUCACUCACACUCAUUAAAGGGGACACAAACUGAGAGAAGAGGAGACAAGAAACCUCCUCAUGAAUAUAACUCAACUGAAAUGGCUCUAACAAAGGCCAUCAGCGAUAUCCAUGCUGCUAAGGACCAGGGACACUAUACUUAUACCAUACUUAGAUUCCUGGAUCUCUCUGCAGCAUUCAAUACAGUUAACCACUGUUUCCGUUUAAAACAUCUCCAAAUGUGUGGUAUCAGUGGUUCUGUUUAUCAUGGUUGGCAUCCUAUCUUUCUAUGCACACCUUCACUGUAACAGUUUUUGACAAUAUAUCUUGACCUGUUGAUCUCUCUGUUUGGGUGACAAGACAAGGGUCUUUCAUAGAGCAUCUUUACAUUCUCUCUAUUGGUGACCUUAUCACAUCUGUUGGCUUCUGCUAUCACCUUCUGUUGAAAAAACAAGUAAGCCUUUUUAUGUCUUUAAAAUUACAACCCCCAGAAUAACAUACCUUAGUUUCUGAAUUCUAAGUUGAAAUCUCAAGCUCCUUUCUGUUACUUCCUGGUACAGGAAUCAGACUGAAUGCAGAGACUAAGGUAUGCUAUUCUGGGGGGUGUUUAGAGUAAUUUUAAAGAUAGAAAAAAAGGUUUACUUCUUUAACAUUACACUUGACAAUGUCACCCUACAUCCAAACUACCAAGGCAGGUGUCUGGGGGUCAACUUAGACCCAUCCCUUACGUUUCAGCCACAUUGCAUCCCUUACCAGAACAUGCUGCUUCUUUCUAAUAAACAUUGUAAAAAUACAUCCCUUACUCUGCCCCUCCGACACUGGUCCAGGCCCUCAUACUUUUCAGAAUAAACUAUUGCAACAUAUUACUAACUGGUCCCCCUUUAAUUACAUCUUUACCCUCUUAAUUCAAUCCUUACUCCUGCUGCCCACCUGCUCACGUGCAUCUAAAUCACUCACCUCCACCUCACAUCUUAGAUCUGUCCCCUGGCUUCUGGUCAAGUGGCAAAUACUGCAAAACUCUUAUCCUGUCCUUCAAAGCCUUUCAUGCUUCUGCUACUUUCUAUAUAUAUCGACUCUCAUCACCUCAUACACUUAUUCCUGGCCUUGCGCAAUCUACUGACUAUACAAUUCACCAAAACAGAAUAUGGCGCAUAUGGGCUUGAUUGCGCCCUGCCUCUCUAAUUGCUCCACCAUCUUGCAUCAGGAUAGCUUCCCUCUCUUUUCCCAUUUCCCACACUUUUCUCUACGCUCUUUAAUCAUAUUCUAGAUGAAGCACUUUGCUAGUCUUCCUCUGCAACUUAUCCUAUGCACAUUUAACCAGCCCCUUUUUGAUUGUAAGCUCUUUUGGUAAGGGUCCUCAUCAUAUAUGUGUAUUUCAACACCUAAGCACUUAAGCAUAGAUUUAUCUGUUUAUACUGUAAUAACCAUUCACUUGUCUGUGUUUACACCUUGUAAAGCACUGUGUAAAAUAGUGGUGCUAUACAAAUAAAUACAUAAAUGCAAAUACAUACAGAAGCCUUACAUACAAGGAUUUACUUUUGAUAUUAAGGGGUCAGCAAUGCAGCCCAUGUCAUGCUGGGGUAAGCAAGAAGACGCAGUUGGCUACCAAAACCCACUACAUUAAUUAGCUGAUGUUUUACAUUUCAAUCACUAGAUGGCACAAAUGUCUUUAAUAUACAAAGCAAGUCUUAUUGGGGAAAGUUUAUAACAGCAGUAACACAAGUGGGCAUGGAGCUUUGUUGUCAGCGCCCUCUAACCAAGAGGUCCAGUAAGUUAGUAGUAUGAAAUCUGAUGGUGGUCCUGUUUAGACCAUAGUAGUCUAGUACCCUCUUUCAGUUUCCCUUUAAUACAGGUUCAGCAUCAAUACAAAGUAUUGUACAUAUGCACGAUUGGCCAAAUUGCCAUAUAUAUAUAUAUAUAUAUAUAUUGCUAUAUGCUAUAUACAUUUCAGCUAUUUCUAUUGUGAUGGGACGGAUCUUUCACCAACAAACAUUUUUUAUGUCCCAUUUUUUUCUCUUUUUCAUGUUUCUCUCCCCCUCCUUUGAGUAAGUAGGUGCACGUGCACAAAGCAUGUCAGACCAGAUUCCCGUUUGUGGAGAAUUAUUGACUUUUUUUGGCAAUGACAUUAUAUAUCCAGUGUUGUAAUCAGAGGGGUUGCCUCUCUUCUUUUCAUCUGCAGAUUCCUGCCAGCCAAGCCUGGAUAUGUGCAGAGCAGAUCUUUAAAUGGAUGCAGGCUCACCCUACUUUUAAUAAAAUGAAUAAAAAUAGUGUGUUUUAGCAGUUCUUUCAUACUUUGAUUUCUAAAUGUUUAUUUCUGGAAGCUGACAGGUGCACUGGGGGUUAAUUAGUAUUAGCUGCUUAAUUUCAUUGAUAUGAGAGGCGUGUUUAUCCAUAAUGCAUUAUUUUCCCCCUUAAUUCCUGUGUAAUUGCGGCCAUGCAGGGGGUUACAUCAGCCACAAAUGCAUUUAAUGUUGCAAUUCUGCUACUGCAUCAGUAGGUCACAAUUCAGAAGAAGAGGCCAGAUGGAUGCAAUGGUGCAACUACAUGGCUGUGCAAGGAAUAAUGUUUGGACACUAAUACCUUUAAUGAAUGGUGUCAACAUAUUCAUUGUUUACAUCCAAUUUAGCUUGACCACACUUGUGGCUGCAUUCUUCAUGGAAUGUUUCCAAGCAUUUUCUCUAGUAAUACUUUCUCUGUAAAUAUCCUGAUGCAGUUUGCUGCUUUAUAACUUGCUUUAUCAAGUUCCUAUAUUUCCCAAGUAUCUACCUUGACCUGACUUCUCUAUUCCUUAUGGUUUUACCCUAGAGUUAAAAUAUAAUGGCCUCAAUUUUUGCAUUCAGCUGUAAAUUCCUUUUGACAGGAGUAAAGAAGGUCACAGAACAACUUAUAGACUUAUACGGACCCCCUUAUGUUUGUAACUAAAGAAACACAUUUAUGGAUGAAUGCUCAGCCGAGAAUCUUACACAUCUCUCUCUUCAGUAUUCCAGAACAACUGCCUGCUUCAGUGACAAAAAGUCUACUUGGAUUUCUACUCAUCACUGAAACUCCUUUCUGGCUUGUUGUCAUCUCCUUCAUUUGCACUUCAGGUUUGCAGAUUUAUCUCUAACUCUAGGUGCCCAAGGUCUGAGCACCACUGGGUCAUAUUUCAGGACAAGGUACAGAAAGUUCUCUUGAGCAAUGUUGAAGAGGGAGAGAGUGCCAAUAUUUUAUGGGUUGCCAAACAGCAAUGACAACAGUUGUAGACAUGCAACUUUUAGUUAUCAAAAGUAUACGAAACUCAUGCAUUCGCCUGUUAUGAUUUUUGCCGAUAUAGUUGCCAAAAUGACAAGCUCAGCAUCCUAGAAAGUCUGGCUGUUGCCUGCAGCUUCCUAUAUUAGCACAUAGCAAAGAUGUACCAGGAAGCCAUACUUUGAUGCUACAUAUAAGUUGCACUGGGGAUUCUCUACUACAGUAGUUACACUUUAAUGGGCAGUGCAAGCUGUGGUUUCCUUCAUGCCCACGUGCUCACCCUUAAUAGGCAGAUUGUGAUUGCCAGACAGGCCCAGAUUUGUGGCGAGGCCACAAAGGCCUGGGCCUAGGGCGGCACAAUUUUAGGGGCUGCAUGCCGCCCCGCUGCAGCAAAAUUUUAACAUUUUGCGGCCAUGUAAUUCAUGCUUUUAGAAGUUUUCUUUUUUGUUUGUUUGUUUGUACGCACAUGAAAAUUUUUACUAAAGCGAAAAAAUUUGAGGUUUUCAUGUUCACCGUUUUUGUUCAACAUUUUAAUUUGUAUGUGCUUUUCAUAUUAGGAUCUUUUAGUAAAUGUUCCAGAGGAAUAAAAUGUGACCUGCAUGUGUAGUGGUGGAGGUGCCGGGGCUAUUAUUUGAAUAAUAAUACAUUUGUAUGUAUCUUUCUUCUUCUCCAUUAUUCCCUAAAGAGAAUUGAAAACUGUCAUCACAUCUCACCUAGACAAUUUUCCAUGUCAUUAUCGUUUUCUAUCGCACAAGGGUGCUUUAUUCUCAUCAUGUGGGUGCAGUUUUAUAUUUCAUUUAUUUCCUUGGGGUCCUCUACAGAGCUGCAAAAAGGUUUGUGCUCCAGUGAAGAAUUCUAAACAAAGGACCAUCAUUAGUAAAUAUGUUGUCAUAAUGUAUAUACUUCCGCAAAGUGUUUCUUAUCUGGGCAGGUAAUUUGUCUGCCCUGAAAUGGGAUAGAGUAGAUUUAUUGCCCUGCAGGUGAUGUGAGUCAGGAAUGUACUGACGCUUUUUACAGUAGGACAGGAAAUGACAGUCUGCGGUUCAGCAGUACAUGCAGUCGUGCAUGCAGUUUAAUGUUCUAGGAAGAAGUGCCCAAAUCACAGAGAACAUGAUCAAUGUAUUCACAGUAUAUUACACACACCCCUACCCCAGACACCAUCAAAAUAUGGGCAUAUUAUCAUAACAGUGAGUUAGCUUUUUUCCUAUUUAUGCACACUGUGAGACCUGCCGCUGUUCAGUGCCUUUGCUUGCUCAUGGGCUUGUGAGCUGCUAGCUGUCUUUAGUAGCACAGAUAUUCUCCCAAAAAACAAUUUCCCACCUCCAGCAUGGUUCCCUUACAGCACUCUCUGAUGGCAAAUAAGAUAGCCGGUAUUUUACAAAGACUAUGUUUAUUUCAACA
Molecule: long non-coding RNA, 5503 nt
Organism: Xenopus tropicalis (tropical clawed frog)
Lineage: Eukaryota; Metazoa; Chordata; Amphibia; Anura; Pipidae
Exons: 2
Source: RefSeq, a predicted model, not a curated record